This is an unclassified non-coding RNA of Chelonoidis abingdonii (Abingdon island giant tortoise), 161 nucleotides long. NCBI's taxonomy places the organism in Eukaryota, Metazoa, Chordata, Testudines, Testudinidae. The record is from Ensembl.
ACAAUAACCCUGUAAUAACCACUCUUUUAUACAUAGAACAGGUACAGCCCAAGCAGUGGCUGUACAAAUUUUCCCACACAGUUUUUCAGCAUGUCUGAACCCUGACCCGGAGGAUGAGAGCAAGCAGGUCAGUCUCCAUACUCAUUUUGUACUUUAAUCCU